This 72-nucleotide transfer RNA is filed under the name Fomitopsis pinicola. Its description in RNAcentral is "tRNA-Ala". It matches the Rfam family "tRNA". From Rfam's summary of the family: Transfer RNA (tRNA) molecules are approximately 80 nucleotides in length. Their secondary structure includes four short double-helical elements and three loops (D, anti-codon, and T loops). Further hydrogen bonds mediate the characteristic L-shaped molecular structure. tRNAs have two regions of fundamental functional importance: the anti-codon, which is responsible for specific mRNA codon recognition, and the 3' end, to which the tRNAs corresponding amino acid is attached (by aminoacyl-tRNA synthetases). tRNAs cope with the degeneracy of the genetic code in two manners: having more than one tRNA (with a specific anti-codon) for a particular amino acid; and 'wobble' base-pairing, i.e. permitting non-standard base-pairing at the 3rd anti-codon position. Lineage: Eukaryota; Fungi; Basidiomycota; Agaricomycetes; Polyporales; Fomitopsidaceae. The record is from RNAcentral.
AAAAUUAUAGUUAAAUGGCAUAAUAUUUCUUUUGCGUAAGAAAAGUUUUUAGUUCAAAUCUAAAUAAUUUUC